GUCAGGAUGGCCGAGCGGUCUAAGGCGCCAGACUCAAGGUUUAACCUUACUCUGCUGCAGAGUAUUGAGCGUUCUGGUCCACGAAUGUGGGCGUGGGUUCGAAUCCCACUUCUGACA
This 117-nucleotide transfer RNA is filed under the name Araneus ventricosus. It matches the Rfam family "tRNA". Rfam says of the family: Transfer RNA (tRNA) molecules are approximately 80 nucleotides in length. Their secondary structure includes four short double-helical elements and three loops (D, anti-codon, and T loops). Further hydrogen bonds mediate the characteristic L-shaped molecular structure. tRNAs have two regions of fundamental functional importance: the anti-codon, which is responsible for specific mRNA codon recognition, and the 3' end, to which the tRNAs corresponding amino acid is attached (by aminoacyl-tRNA synthetases). tRNAs cope with the degeneracy of the genetic code in two manners: having more than one tRNA (with a specific anti-codon) for a particular amino acid; and 'wobble' base-pairing, i.e. permitting non-standard base-pairing at the 3rd anti-codon position. The record is from Rfam by way of RNAcentral. Lineage: Eukaryota; Metazoa; Arthropoda; Arachnida; Araneae; Araneidae.